ACUCCUACGGGAGGCAGCAGUGGGAAAUAUUGGACAAUGGGCCACAAGCCUGAUCCAGCAAUUCUGUGUGCACGAUGAAGGUCUUCGGAUUGUAAAGUGCUUUCAGUUGGGAAGAAGAAAGUGACGGUACCAACAGAAGAAGCGACGGCUAAAUACGUGCCAGCAGCCGCGGUAAU
Molecule: ribosomal RNA, 176 nt
Filed under: uncultured bacterium
Lineage: Bacteria
Description: partial 16S ribosomal RNA
Rfam family: Bacterial small subunit ribosomal RNA
Source: RNAcentral